Molecule: ribosomal RNA, 467 nt
Filed under: uncultured bacterium
Lineage: Bacteria
Description: partial 16S ribosomal RNA
Rfam family: Bacterial small subunit ribosomal RNA
Source: RNAcentral
ACGAACGCUGGCGGCGUGCUUAACACAUGCAAGUCGAACGGAAAGGCCCUGCUUUUGUGGGGUGCUCGAGUGGCGAACGGGUGAGUAACACGUGAGUAACCUGCCCUUGACUUUGGGAUAACUUCAGGAAACUGGGGCUAAUACCGGAUAGGAGCUCCUGCUGCAUGGUGGGGGUUGGAAAGUUUCGGCGGUUGGGGAUGGACUCGCGGCUUAUCAGCUUGUUGGUGGGGUAGUGGCUUACCCAGGCUUUGACGGGUAGCCGGCCUGAGAGGGUGACCGGCCACAUUGGGACUGAGAUACGGACCAGACGCCUACGGGAGGCAGCAGUGGGGAAUAUUGCACAAUGGGCGGAAGCCUGAUGCAGCAACGCCGCGUGCGGGAUGACGGCCUUCGGGUUGUAAACCGCUUUCGCCUGUGACGAAGCGUGAGUGACGGUAAUGGGUAAAGAAGCACCGGCUAACUACGUG